This 81-nucleotide transfer RNA is filed under the name Firmicutes bacterium HGW-Firmicutes-16. Its description in RNAcentral is "tRNA-Ala". It matches the Rfam family "tRNA", at positions 15 to 71 of the family's 71-position model. From Rfam's summary of the family: Transfer RNA (tRNA) molecules are approximately 80 nucleotides in length. Their secondary structure includes four short double-helical elements and three loops (D, anti-codon, and T loops). The record is from RNAcentral. Lineage: Bacteria; Bacillati; Bacillota.
GGGGGUGCACACCGGAUACUUCGGGAGAGCGUCUGACUGGCAGUCAGAAGGUCAGCGGUUCGAUCCCGCUUAUCUCCACCA